RNAcentral lists this ribosomal RNA (480 nucleotides) under uncultured bacterium. RNAcentral's name for it is "bacterial SSU rRNA". It matches the Rfam family "Bacterial small subunit ribosomal RNA", at positions 30 to 506 of the family's 1533-position model. The record is from RNAcentral.
UUGAACGCUGGCGGCAGGCCUAACACAUGCAAGUCGAGCGGUAACAGAUCCAGCUUGCUGGAUGCUGACGAGCGGCGGACGGGUGAGUAAUGCAUAGGAAUCUGCCCGAUAGUGGGGGAUAACCUGGGGAAACCCAGGCUAAUACCGCAUACGUCCUACGGGAGAAAGGGGGCUCCGGCUCCCGUUAUGGGAUGAGCCUAUGUCGGAUUAGCUAGUUGGUGAGGUAACGGCUCACCAAGGCCACGAUCCGUAGCUGGUCUGAGAGGAUGAUCAGCCACAUCGGGACUGAGACACGGCCCGAACUCCUACGGGAGGCAGCAGUGGGGAAUAUUGGACAAUGGGGGAAACCCUGAUCCAGCCAUGCCGCGUGUGUGAAGAAGGCCCUCGGGUUGUAAAGCACUUUCAGUGAGGAAGAACGCCUGGUGGUUAAUACCCAUCAGGAAAGACAUCACUCACAGAAGAAGCACCGGCUAACUCCGU